Long non-coding RNA from Silurus meridionalis, 416 nucleotides. RefSeq lists it as uncharacterized. The transcript has 3 exons. Lineage: Eukaryota; Metazoa; Chordata; Actinopteri; Siluriformes; Siluridae. The record is from RefSeq and is a predicted model, not a curated record.
CCGAAACUGUAUUAAACGGUAUAAGAUCUAAACUUUUGUAAAGAAACGGCAGUAUGAAUAAAUAGCCUAAAAAGCUUACCAGAUCAGGUUUAACUGUGUCAACUGUGUGAUUUAAAUAGACGUGUUGGAUUUUAGACUUCGAAAUCGUGUUUCAGAAACAAAAGGAUUUAAGCAACACACUUUUAUUCAGCUUUUAGGAAUAUUUGCUUUUCAGUGCGGCUUUGUUGAGGAAAGACCACAAUGUUGACGGCAUUGUGUUUGCUGUUGAUGCUGUGUAAAUCACAAGGCAGCGGAAUAGCAAAGAGCCGAGAAGACAAUAGCGUAUAUGACUUAUUCGAGCUCGCAAAGGUAAAUAAAAAGCACCAUGGAGUGAGCCUAGUAAAGGGACCCGACCCUUACAGCCCUGCUUACAAAAU